AUAGAAGAGCAGUCCGUCACACUUGCCCUUGCAGCAGUUUGUUGCCAUCGACUACACCCGCAUUGUCUUGCAUGUUGAUUUUCCCCGCGCAUAAGGCAAAUAGCAAGGCUAUCAUGCCAAAAUUCUCGCCACUGCCGUGCCGCUUGCUGAUCAACUUUGUCAAGGGUCUAACACUAAGCAACAAUAGCCAAAAAAGAGAAAGUAACUUUUCCAA
Molecule: long non-coding RNA, 214 nt
Filed under: Nicotiana benthamiana
Lineage: Eukaryota; Viridiplantae; Streptophyta; Magnoliopsida; Solanales; Solanaceae
Description: long non-coding RNA (NBEN_LNC022225)
Source: RNAcentral